Long non-coding RNA from Amphimedon queenslandica, 531 nucleotides. RefSeq lists it as uncharacterized. The record is from RefSeq and is a predicted model, not a curated record. Lineage: Eukaryota; Metazoa; Porifera; Demospongiae; Haplosclerida; Niphatidae. The transcript has 3 exons.
GAACCAGUACGAAUCUCAUCAUGAUUGUGUCAAGGCUGAAUGGCUCAUUGCAAUGAUAAUAGAGUUCUCUUCUCUCACUGAUGUUUACUAAAUUAACAGUAAACUCUGGAGUUGGCCUAAAUCAUUUUUGGUAAUAAACAUAGGCAAGAGUGGUAAACAGUGUUAAACAUGUGACUUACAUGCAGUGUUAAACACAGGUAAACAUAAGUAAACGAUGAUAUACAGGGUAAACAUUGACAAAACAGUGGUAAGCACUAGCAUACAUAGGUAAACACAAUAUACAGUGAAAAACAUAGGUAAACAGUGAUAUACUUUGUUAAACACAGGUAAACAUAGGCUAACGAUGGUAUACAAUGGUAAACUGGCUAAACACUGAUAAACAUUGACAAUACAGUGGUAACCAUUGAUAUACAGUGAUAUACAGUGGAAAAUAUAGUUCCAGGCUACUAUGCUACUAUGGUAAGCAAUCCAUGUAAUUGUAUUUCUGUUAAUAAGUAUUUGUUGCGGUAUAAAUAGUAUAAAUAAAUUUGU